RNAcentral lists this long non-coding RNA (11361 nucleotides) under Triticum aestivum (bread wheat). The record is from RNAcentral. Lineage: Eukaryota; Viridiplantae; Streptophyta; Magnoliopsida; Poales; Poaceae.
UUUUUUUUUCUAUUUAUAGUAAGUUUAUAUUUAGUAAGAACUAGUUGAAUUAAUAGAACUAGUUGAACAUGUCAUAUUUGUUGUUAUUUUUUUAGUUUAAGCAAUUAUUCGGGAUGUAUUAGCUAGCGAUAACUGCAUGUUCAGGUUACACCUCCGAGUGGCCUAUGAUUAAUUUCCGUUCCGGCAAAUUUCAGGCGCUCGAUAUGUCCUUUUUUAGCAAAGGUCAUGCAGGAUUUUUCCGUGAAUUCUGGCAUGACUUGUGCUAGAAUAUGUAGGAAAUAUCGAGUGGCCUGGAUUUUCUCGGAAAAUAAUGAUCUAAUUUAGGUUUUUUAGUACAUAUAUUUAAUUGUACAAGUUUAAUCUUUGAAUUAUGAACGUAGGAAAUGUCGUACUCGGACAACGAAAGUCUCCCGGGGGAGUGCAGCUGGUGCCAUGACGAUCGAGGUCUGUGCGACAGGUGCCCUCACCUGGACGAAGAUCGGCGCUUCAGCAUUAAGCUGGAGGAGACCUUCGAUGUUGAAACGGUACGCAACGACAACAAGUGUUUUUUUCGUAAUUAAGCACGACUUCAACUAUUUCAACGUCUAAUUUUCAUCUUUUACAAUUCGACUAGCUUAUCCCAUGCCAUGCAAGACGCUAUGUCUUGGAGAGGAUGGGUUUUGAAGACCAUGAAAAUUUUGAAACAAAGAAAAUACACCUAAGGACCCAUCAUGAUAUGGAUUUUGAAGUAAAUCUGUACAAUUCUCAGAGCGUAACCCAUUUUGGUUGCCAAAAUUGGGAAGCACUUUGCAAAAUGUAUGGUUUUUAUGAGGGUAUGAUUGUCACCAUGGAUCUUGGUGAUCCUGACAUCGAGAAAAACAAUAUGGACAUUUGGGUCCUUGUUGAUACGCUUCCCAUUCUACCGCUAUGUGAGUUUCUCAAACAUAGUUAUUAACUAAUUUAUAUUUUUUAUUUCAAAAUAGUUGACAGCUUAUUUCCAUUGACAGCUUAUUUUCAUUGUUCGAACAAUGUGCAAAAGAUGGUAGACAAAACCCACUACACCGAUGGCUCCGAAUUAACUUAUAAGGAGAAAAAUCAUCUGAUGGCAUUUUGUACUGAUCUUGAGAAUUACAAUACCUAUUAUCGAACUCCUCCAAAUUAUGGUGAAUACAUGCCAUUAGUGCACGUGUUGAACCAUGGUAACUUCUAUGGAGAUACCCUGGUAAGAUUUUUUACUAUUACGACACCCGUGCAUCUUUUGCAUACUUCUAAAACUAGUACAUCAUUGCUAACUACGAAGUUAUUACUUUUUUCCAAUAGAAAAUCCCGAUGGAUUGUGUGCCUCAUCUGAUGUAUCAGAAUGGUCGUCUUGAUGUUCUGAACAUACAGCCAGGUCAUCCUAUGGAUCUCACCUGUGCAUAUUGGAUUUGUAAAACCGGUGAACACAUGCUAAUCAAAGAAUGGAAAAAAUGAUUGGACAUUCAUAAGGAGGUUCUUGGAAGCAACAUUAAGCAAAAGGCAAGAAUUGGAGACAGGAUAAUCUCCAUUCUCCAUAAUGGAGAGUCAGGGGCUAUCUUGUUUUUUUUCUAUUUUACCUUAGAGAAUAUAGUAGGUCCUAAGAGAAUGUAGUAGGUCCUAUGAGGUACAAUAUGUUUAUUAUGUGGUACAAUGUGUUAGAGUUUAUUAUGACUAGUGACCAACUUGCUAUGUGAUGUCUCAUUGAUGAAAACGAUGAUCAUGAGGAGGUUUUAUAUGACAAUGAUGUAUUAUGAUGAUAAGUGUUAAUGAUAUGAUGAUGAUGAUAUUUAUUAUAUCAUUGCAUGAAAGAACCGCGGAUUAGUUUCAAGUGGAUGUACAUCCACUUGAAACUAGUCCACGGUUCUUUCACCCAGUGAUGUAAUAACUCAUUAUGAUGUAAAAACAAUCUCUAAAUUGCUGCUGUAUGAAAACUUGUAUAGAGGUGUAUGAAUACAACAUGAAAUAAAAAGAAAUAAAAUACGGAAUAAUAGUAGUAGCGCGGGCUGGGAGAAGCUCUACUCGUAAUUACCAGUAGCGCUGUUUGGAGAAAGCGCUGCUACUAAGUCGGUAUGGCAGUAGCGUGGGUUACCCCAUGCUACUGCUAACCUUUAGCUGUAGCGCCGUACCAGUAGCGCCCCUGCCCGCGCUACUGAUAGGCCUAAAACCCGCGCUGCUGCUAGGCUUUUCCCUAGUAGUGACUCCUCGUGCUUUACCGAUGAGGUAAUGCAGCACAAAUUUCCAGAAGGGUUUAAACCCGUAAACAUUGAACGACAGAUCCCGCGGUAUGGAUUGAAGAUUUUCUCCUCCAUAUUCAUAUGGCUCGCGGCGACGACCUCCACACCAUCAAGUACCUCCCCCUAAAACUAAAGGGACCAGCACGACACUAGUUAAAUAGUCUGCCAGAGAAAUCUAUUGGCAGCUGGGAAGAUUUGGAGGAUGCCUUUCAAGACAACUUCCAAGGUACUUAUGUCCGGCCACCGGACGCCGACGAGCUUAGUCACAUAGUCCAGCAACCCGGAGAGUCAGCCCGCAAACUCUGGUCUCGGUUCUUAAUCAAAAAGAAACAAAUUGUCGACUGUCCGGACGCCAAAGCCCUAGCGGCCUUUAAACAUAGCGACCACGAUGAAUGGCUCGCCCGACACCUCGGUCAAGAAAAGCCGAAGUCUAUGGCAGCUUUUACCGCACUCAUGACCCGCUUCUGCGCGGGAGAGGAUAGCUGGCUAGCUCAUAGAAGCAACAAUACCAGCGACCCGGGCACCUCCGAAGCUAGGGAUGGCAACGGACGGCCACGACGUAACGAACUAAGCGUUGGAACAACAAUGAAGAAACCGAGGAUACAACAGUCAAUGCCAGAUUCAGUGGCUCUAAACUCGGUCAACGGAAGAAGCCAUUCAAAGGAAAUAGAGACGGUCCAUCUAAUUUGGACAAAAUACUCGACCGGCCUUGCCAGAUUCAUGGCACCCCUGACAAGCUUGCCAACCAUUCCAACAGAAAUUGUUGGGUUUUUAAACAGGCCGAUAAGCUAAAUACCGAACAGAAGGGGGAAGGGUCGCCAAGCGAGGACGAUGAUGAGCCCCGCCCACCGAACACACGAGGAUAGAAGAAAUUUCCCCCUGAGGUGAAAACAGUGAAUAUGAUAUAUGUCACGCAUAUGCCCAAGAGGGAGCGCAAGCACGCAUUAAGGGACGUCUACGCCGUAGAGUCGGUCGCCCCAAAAUUCAACCCAUGGUCGGCUUGCCCGAUCACCUUCGAUCGCAGGGACCAACCGACCAGUAUCCGUCACGGAGGUUCGGCAGCCCUGGUCCUCGAUCCAAUCAUUGAUGGAUACCAUCUCACUUGAGUCCUUAUGGACAAUGACAGCAGUCUUAACCUGAUCUAUCAAGACACUGUUCGCAAAAUGGGUAUUGACCCGUCAAGAAUCAAACCUAGUAACACCACCUUUAAAGGGGUGAUUCCCGGCGUAGAGGCCCGCUGCACAGGUUUGUUAACAUUGGAAGUUGUCUUCGACUUGCCGGAUAACUUCCGAAGCGAAGACUUGAUCUUCGACAUUGUCCCUUUUCGCAGUGGUUAUCACGCAUUGCUCGGACGAACUACCUUCGCCCGGUUCAAUGCAGUGCCGCACUAUGCUUACCUAAAGCUCAAAAUGCCUGGACCACAUGGCCUUAUCACAGUCAAUGGAAACAUGGAGCACUCCCUUCAUACUGAGCAGCACACCACGGCCCUUGCGGCCGAGGCGCAGAGCGGCCUCAACAAGCCAAUACUUCAUCGGCCAUCAAGACCCCGGACACUGCUAAACGAGUCCGACCUACCCUACAGAAUGACAGCUCGGUGGAUCCAAAGCUAAUCUAGCAGUUUCGCCUCCGCCGAUCGCCCCACACAAUUGCGGCAUAUGUAUCGUGUGUGCAUAAUUACGCACUCAAAAUACCCUGGGUAACGACGGAGGCACACUGCGGAUAAGGUCUAUAGUACUGCUUGACCCUAUUUGACCGUAAACUUCCUUCUUUUCUCCCUCAUACUAUAGGUUCAUUAAAACCUACCUAUCCUAUGGUCAUGCAAUGGCUCUUGACGAGCCCCUUUCGUAUAAACGACAACUGACCACUCCUCUCAAAGGAUUUUUACCAAGGAGAAACAACGCAGACGUGCGGCAGGGCAUCAAUGGGAUCUUCAAGACUACCUCUUCUCUUAAGCCCUGUAUACAGCUUCCCCUUGUGUGCAAAUUCUCGGCAUAUAAAAUAGCCUGGAUGUUUAUGGCAUUAUCUGUAAUAGCAUGUUUUAACGUAUUAGUCAGAGUAUAAAGGAAAUAGUUUAUUGCCCCUGUUCGGCAUUGGUUUAUUUUACCACCUGUAUUCCCUCCUUACUUCAGAUUGCCAGAUAUACUUUGGCCCGUCCUAAAUACCGAGGGCUCUAUUCGGCCACAUAUAUUUUCAAAAGUCCGAACACUUCUAGGGUCUCGUUCAAUGUCCCGAAUAUUGCGUUAUAUGCAUCAGCUCUGAAUCAUGUCUUUGGUCAAUAGUUGGGUUGCCCAGCUCCUGUGAUUACCACCUUACGUUCCGCUAGUUCGGCUAAGGUAGUAAAGGGACAACUACUGCGAUUGUGUUUCUGGUUCAUCCGGAUAAACACCUCAGUAGAGAAAGCCGAAAACUGACUAUCAUGAUAUGGCGAGAGCUGGUCGGCGAUUCGGCGACGUGCUACAAAUCUUCUGCGAUCUUACUCCGUACUACACGAAGGGCUGCCCUUUUUUAGUCAUGCGCUUAAGGCAUCCUAGUUCGGAUGGCCGUAUACGCACCAGGGGCUAGUACUUAGCACCACCGUCAAACUCCUAUGGCUAAGUGAAAGUAGUAAAGCCGCAUAGUCCGAUUGCCUGGUUCGCUGCACAGACACCUCCUUUACGGACCAAAGCGUUGGGUCAAGUGUGAUCAUGCGCUACCGCGAACACCCAUGUAGCAUAUACGUGGGGGUUGAAGCCGAUGACCGGCAAACUUUCAGAAUUGAAACGGCCGCACAGGAGGAAAAUAAUUUCAGGUAAAGGCAUAAAUAUAUUACAAGCCUUGGUUCAUAAAACAAAGUCUGGACAAUCCUGAUACAUUCACUCAAACACGACAUCCUUUGAGCACUGGCCCUCUACUAUUCGGGCACCCUCCAGGACAACGUCAAAGUACCUCUCCGGCUUGCAGUGGUCCUUGCCUUCGGGCGGGCCUUCGGUUGCCACGACGGCGGCCUUCAUCUUCGGCCAAUGCAUCUUGACACGGGCAAAGGCCAUCCGCGCACCCUCUAUGCACGCCAAGCACUUCACAGCUUCAACUCAGGGCAGCGCAUCGACGAGCUGCUUUACUAGGCCGAAGUAGCUGCUCGGAAUGGGCUCGGCUGACCAAAGCCGGACUAUGAUGUCCUUCGUGGCUAAACCGUAUAUCUGAUGCAGAUCCGCCAGUUGCUUCAUCUAGUUGUUGAAUAGCAUCGGGUGCUCCGGUGCCAAGAACUAUGACCAAAAUAGCUUCUUCGUCGAGUUCCCCUCCUGGGCUCGGAAGAAUUGCGCGGCGUCGGCGACACUCCUCGAGAGAUCCGCAAAAACGUCUGGAGAACUCCAUAGUCGAGUGAGCAAGGCAUAUAUUUUAACCCCAAAUAUAAUCUACAAGAGAAAGGGCUUACCAGCCGCUAUCUAUUCGGCCUGCCGGAUCUCCUCCCGAGCACUCCAGAACUCGGUCCACGCCUCUUUGGCCUCUUGGAUGGCUUUGGCAAGUUUGUCCACUUGGGCCGUACUCUUCCCCUCCAAGGCCUCGCACUUGCCGAUGGCAUCCUUCAGCUCUUGUUCCACCUCAGCCAUCCUCUCCUCGUGUUGGCGGCAGGCGACCUGUUCGGUCUUCAGUUCUGCAGCCACUUUGUCAGCGACUGCUUUACUCGCCAUCGCCUUCUCCUUGGCCUGCGCAAGGGCACUCUUGAGGGUCUCGACCUCGGCCGCGCUACCUGCACUCAUAAUUACAAUAGUACAUGAGUUACCCUUUGAAUUUGCAUAUCACUUCAGAUGUAUGAUCAUCCUCUUUUAAAAAACAUACACACAUACCUUGCGCCUCAUUGAACCGCUUGUUAACGCGGUCGAUCUCAUCAUCAGCCAGCUUCAUUCUCCGAUUGAGGUCAGAAAUUUCAGCGGCUGCUCCUGUCGCAAUUUCCCGAUUUCGAAAUGUUGCAAAGCCUGGGGAGUUUUCCAGUAAUUCUAGAGACAUGUUUGAAAUUUUGGGUCUUUUUUUGUUACAAUUGUCUAUCUCCUUCGCUUGUAGUAGGUUGGACCAAAAUCCAGCUGAGAGAGGGCAGCCUUUAGAAGCAACUGGUUGGGAAACCAAGAGAAGGAUUCGUGUUUCUUAUCUUCUUCCCGGCACAAAAAUAGGGAUUAGCAUUAUUGACCCCAUGAGAAAGCACUAACACCUUCCUCAUCGGGGCUCCCCGCAUUGGGAAAAGGCUUCCGCGACAGGAAACCGGCUACUAGUUAGGAAGUGAACAUAAGGUAUCAAGAGGUCCCUCACAGUCAGGUGGAAUGCAAUUGCCCCCUAUUAGUCAAGUACCCCUCUUCCUAUUUAGUUUAGGGGUUAAGGCGAGAAAUGGCUUGAUGAACCCUUCCGUUCACCAUGCACCGGCCCCAUUCACUUGCAACUCGUAGAGGCUAUAAGUAAAUAGUGCCCCUCUAAUUCAAAGUGAUGGUGGGGUUGAAAGACGAGAGUGCCUACCUCCGCGCCGAGAGUGCCCGCCAUUUCUUUCAAGUAGGCUACUUUUUCUGGAACGCAGUCCGGAAUAAGCAUUCCUGUGUAUAUAGAUAUCUUCGAUGCUGUCAUUUCGACAUGUCCGCUUCAACCCCUCUUUCGCCUCCCAAAAAGCAAAGUUGGCUUGACAAGUGCAGAUGAGGAAGCGGGAGCAAUAAAACCAAGAAUCUCUUUCUUUUCUUUCCAAAUACUUUAUGAAGUUAAGGGGCAAAGAGAAGCGCUUUCGCUACUGAGAAAGCGAAUGGUCAGCGCGAGGGUUCGACGACUUAGCCGAGCGUUAGCGACGCGUCAUUCUCAUAGCGAGGCGCUUCGAGUUAGCGAAGUGUUGUAGUAGCAUCGGAGACUAUGUGCUAUAAUGUUGAACUACGGACGUUCCGCCUUAUCUAUAGAAGCAGUCGACUUAGUUCUGAACGAAUGGGAUCCUUGGUGGGCAAUGGCUCAAUCUAUAGAUGGAAAGCCUUAUGAUUGGAAACUACCACGUUAGGUUUGGAGAGAGAUGGGACCCGUUAUAGUUUAGGGGGAGCAGAUGCAAGCUUUUUCUUUCCAUAGCCGGCCAAAUGACUACUGGAUCAUCGGUCUACUCUACCUCAAUUCACCACUUCGAACUUUAUACAGAAGGUUUUUCCGUACCAGCUCCUACUACCUAUACCGUAGUUGAAGCACCUAAAGGUGAAGUUGGUGUAUUUCUUGUCAGUAAUGGGAGUAAUCAUCCCUACCGUUGUAAAAUAAGAGCACCUGGCUUUGCCCAUUCACAAGGACUUGAUUCUAUGUCCAAACAUAGGUACUCAAGAUAUUGUGUUUGGAGAGGUAGAUAGAUAGGACGUAGUCUUGCUCAAUCAGGACCCUAGCUUUAUUGCGAGCCAAAACUGCCUGAAAGAAGCAAAAUGGAAAAGGAUGCAAAAUGCAAUGGGAUUCCUGAUCCAAUAAGAAAUCCCAAUUUGGAGUUUGUUUGGAUCAAAUUCCUAUGUUAUACUAUUCCAUUCUCGAUGAUGAAUCGAUUUGAUAGAUCAGAUAUUGUUAUUCCAAAUAUUGAUCCGAAUCCUUAGAACAACUCGAUUCCGUUGAUUCACUGUCCAUUUGUCCUUCAACCGGAUUAAUGGUCAACGACUUUGACAACCUUUCCUUCACACAAGGUUUUUAAUCCAUCUCCCCCGCUUAGGGCAGUAAGGGAAGUAGCGAUAUUCCGAUUCCUUCGUGGGGAAUCAACGAAGGCAGCCGCUCCAGCAGCUUUAGUACUUAAGUUAACGCCCCAGCCCUUAUCCCGCGAUGAGAAGGUAGAUGCGGUAAGCCAACUCCUAUCCUUCUUGCGCAAAGGGCAUUCAAUGCCAUCUUAAUUCCCUUCCUUGCUUCGAGGAGCAGGUUGAAUAGUCAAAGAAGGGAUGGCUAAUUCCAGGAAUAGAGUAGCAUUCUCAAGCACUACCCUCCGUUUUUUUUCAGUCCAUAUAAAACAGUCAAUCUACCAGCAGCAGAGGCUGCAGAUACAUGUGCACCACCUGUUUAUCUACUACCAUAAGCGGGAGCAGUUGCAGGUAAAGAGUGUUGUGAGGGCUUUCAUUUGCGCGUUAAGGGCAGUUUCUGUUAUAGCACUAGAAAUCUGUGCCGUUAGUUGAAUGCUCGGAAUGACUAUUUCCUUGCUGGAACAUAAUGACAACCACAGGAAUUCGGAAUAAGACAUGUUACGUUUCUCCUCUUUCUGUCUAAUGACUACUACGACAUGCCUAGACUAUAACAUUCCUACGGAGUGCUGCCCAUAGAUUACGGAGCACUUGGCAUAUGUUGAUUGAGUCCCGGGUAUAGCUCCCUCACUCGCUCUACUUUGAAUCACGAAUUAGCGUAUGAAAAGCGGCGAUCUUUCUCAAUUUCUUCCUCUUCCACCAAAACAAACAAGUUGUUUUCGGGCGUCAGGCAAACUUAGUUCUUCGUUCCUUCGGUAAUUGGAUUGAUAUAUAAGGAUUGGGGUUGUCACCCGUAUGCUUCUUAUCUUUGGCUUCGAACAAGGGGAGUCCUUUCAAGCUUCAUCAAAUCCAUGGCACAAGGUCUGUCUUUCAUUAUAGAAUCGAGCAAGAAUCGGAUUGUGAAUUAGGAUUGUAUGCAAGAAGGGAUUCGGAAACAGGAAAGCGAGUCAAGUAAUCCGAAUACGUAGCCACUCUCAUUCUAAUGCUUAUAUCCAGAACUAGUUCACCGAACAAAGGGACAGAACUACUGACUAAACUGUAGCGAGCUAAUACCUAAACUUGAACUCUGAAAUAGCACUCAUUCAUUCAAUUAUUUGAAGCUAAGGUGCGGGAAAAGAAUACAUAAGGUUAGAUAUGAACUAGUUGACUGUUCGAUUGAGGGACUACGAUGCAUUUUACUCAUGUUUUUAUUCCAUUCCAGGAUUCAUUCAUAUUCAACCAUAACGAGACUCAAUAAUGAAACUAGGGCCCUUGCUUUCCCAACUGGAGCAGGAAACUUCCAACCAAAUAGGAGGGACCCGGAAGAAGAGAUAAAUGACAACUAUCUCUAGAGAACUGAAAAGGGGUGUGCGAACAAUGUUAUUGAAUCGGCCAUGGAAACCUAAAAUGAAGGAAUAGGGGGUCUGGGAUAAGCAUGUAUUGGAGGCGGGUUUCCCAAUAAGUCAAUAGCUAUCCUUCGCUAUCUCGGGCUAGCUCACUCUAUGAGAUAAGUUUCAUGUAUGGUUCGAAGCAGUUAACUCCCCUUUAAGGAGCGAUCGAUCAGCCCCGACCAUGACCGGUCUAGAAUCGCUCUCAUUGAGCUUCUCUUUUACGCCUGCUUUCUUCUUGAUUUAUUGCAGCAACUAGUCUCCCUUUUCCAAAUUUGAUUAUAAGUGAAGUGAGUUAUGUUUCAAGAAAUUCCAUCCAUUUCAUCGCCCAGAAUAAUACCUAGUCCUGCCAAUCUCUACGACAAUCUCUGGUUUAGUUUAGUUGAUCUUUUUCUAUUAUGAAAAGCAAGGAAACACUAAGUCUCUUCUUUCCACAACUCCUAAAUUUCCCAUCAGCCUAUCCAAUCUAAUUCCAGACAGAGUCAGUAGUCUUUACUUUAGUGUAGGUAGUGUCAGAUAAUUAGGAAGUCGUGAUAGUCUUCGUAUAAUCUCUUCUUCAAUCCUAGGAGCAAAAAAGGAAUGUCCUUUAGGGACCUUUGGAUACCAAGAUUUUCGACCUCUUACUUUUGUAGUUAUGAAUUGCGGAAUAGAAUCAAUUAUGAAAUUCAUAAGUAUAUAUCCCUCAUCCCUAUUGGUAUCGGUUUGGGCCACUACCCAGAACCCUGCCAGAGCCCUAUUUUUAAGAAGAAAUUGACAGUCUUUUUUAGAACUAGCACUAUGGUAAAAUCCAGUAUCAACAGGCCUAGUUCUUUUCCUUUGCUUAUGCAGGGCAAGAAUUUGCCGAGUUCAAUCAGUACAAUACAAAAUCCUAAGUAUUUUUUUGGUCAGGCGACACCCAGAUUUGAACUGGGGAUAAAGUAAUAGGCUGUGGUCUGGAUAUUGGGCUAUGGGCUGAUUGCUUUCUGUAUGAGCCUCUUGUGAUUGGGCGCUCGUGGGCGGAUUACCCAAUGUGUACUCAUCUUCCAACAAAGAGGAGAAGACAUAACCCGAUUUUUUUGAGAAAUAAGUUAAUUUAUCAAGUUGAGGCAUUUCGAUUUGGAUUUCAAAUAAGAAAGACAGAAAAAGACUCCUGCGCCCUCGAGAGCAUUCUCUUUCACUUGCAUUUCUUCCUGAAGUUGGCUCAAAGACCUGUCCAGCCUUGAUUUUCCCAGUUAUUACUCGAGCGCGCCGAGGCAACUCUGAACUAACCUCAGGGGAGGGGUAGUAGGUAUGCUUCAAACCCUCCGGCACCUUGAAGAACGAUGGCACUACAUCGGGAAAGAUGAAUGACCAAUGAGGACAGGACAAUGGGGGAAGUUGGUAAUAGAGAAUCAUCCCUUCUUCUUUGCUUUCUUGCCUGAAAAAAUCCAAAACUAACCAUUGGAACCUCAUGGGCAACCGAGUAGGAGAUUCAUUUUAUUUAUUACUUUUACUUUUUUUUACUAAGUUAUUCUAAAAGAUAAGAGCUAACUGACCAUCCUGAUUGAAUGUUUGAGUACUCGGGGUCUCUCGUAAGUAUGGCAAGAAAGUCUCUUCUUUCCACAACUCCUAAAUUUCCCAUCAGCCUAUCCAAUCUAAUUCUAGACAGAGUCAGUAGACCUUACUUUAGUGUAGGUACUGUCAGAUAAUUAGGAAGUCUUGAUAGUCUUUCGUAUAAUCUCUUCUUCAAUCCUAGGAGCAAAAAAGGAAUGUCCUUUAGGGACCUUUGGAUACCAAGAUUUCCGACCUCUUACUUUCGUAGUUAUGAAUUGCGGAAUAGAAUCCAUUAUGAAAUUCAUAAGUAUAUAUCCCUCAUCCCUAUUGGUAUCGGUUUGGGCCACUACCCAGAACCCUGCCAGAGCCCUAUUUUUAAGAAGAAAUUGACAGUCUUUUUUAGAACUAGAACUAUGGUAAAAUCCAGUAUCGACAGGCCUAGUUCUUUUCCUUUGCUUAUGCAGGGCAAGAAUUUGUCGAGUUCAAUCAGUACAAUAAGAAAUCCUAAGUAUUUUUUGGUCAGGCGACACCCAGAUUUGAACUGGGGAUAAAGGAUUUGCA